RNAcentral lists this long non-coding RNA (355 nucleotides) under Ictidomys tridecemlineatus (thirteen-lined ground squirrel). Its description in RNAcentral is "lncRNA (ENSSTOG00000034229.1)". The record is from RNAcentral. Lineage: Eukaryota; Metazoa; Chordata; Mammalia; Rodentia; Sciuridae.
GACCCAGCACAGUGACAGAACCAAGUCUGUCACUUGCAUCAAGUGGAGAUGCCUCAACUUCGAUAGGGCCUCCUCUGAGCUCUCCUUCGUGCCCCCUCCUUGCUCUGCUCCAGGGCCCCUGACGGCGACACCUGUCUCACUGAGGGACACUGGGGCUCUUCUCGUCUCUGCCUUCAAUAAGGGAAUGACCGCAUCGUGCAGCCACCGAGACAGUCCACCCAGUGGAUGUGGAAGAGGAGGGAGGAAAGAGACAAGUUCAAGUGCAAGGCCUCGAGGGACCCCAAUGAUACCAGCUGAUGGACUGGUGGGAAGGGAGAAGGGAAGGGACAGGGGCGGUCCUGGCUGGGCCACCUGA